GAGAUAUAACUGUGGGUCCCUCUCUUCUCUCCCCCAUGUUCUCCUUGACAACCUGCCUCUCUCUCUGGUGUUGUUUGGUGGAUUUGCAGAAGAAGAAGAAGCUCUACCCUUUUAGCCAUUAGUUUAAGCUCAGAGACUAAAAUGCUUCUUACAUCUUAAUGCCCCCAAAUUCCCUUCUUCCCUUCCAGUUUGUAGCAAUUGGUGUUGUGAUAUCCAGACUCGGGCGAUAAUUGGGCGUGGUACUAAGAGGAGAGGGUUAUACUAUGUGGAUGAUGUGUCCGCAAGCAGAGUGAACCAAGUGCGCAGUAGCCAGUCAAACAAGGAUAAGACAAUCUGGUUAUGGCAUCGUCGUUUGGGCCAUGCCUCUUUUGGUUAUUUAAAAAGAUUACUUUCGUCUUUAUUUUGUGGCAUUUCAGACUCUGAUUUUCAGUGUAAGGAUUGCAUUCUGGCAAAAAGCCACCGUACUUCUUAUCAUUUGAGUUUAAAUAAA
RNAcentral lists this small RNA (490 nucleotides) under Malus domestica (apple). RNAcentral describes it as "sRNA MD16G0236600". The record is from RNAcentral. Lineage: Eukaryota; Viridiplantae; Streptophyta; Magnoliopsida; Rosales; Rosaceae.